Non-coding RNA from Morus notabilis, 81 nucleotides. Lineage: Eukaryota; Viridiplantae; Streptophyta; Magnoliopsida; Rosales; Moraceae. The record is from Rfam.
CUGUUAGAGGAAUGAUGUACUAUUAUAGGGCCCUUAAGAUGCUUGCCUUUCUUGAUGAUGCGUCUGAGAUGGACGUAAGAG